CCUCGGUGGCAGCAGUGGGGAAUAUUGGACAAUGGGCGAAAGCCUGAUCCAGCCAUGCCGCGUGUGUGAAGAAGGCCUUCGGGUUGUAAAGCACUUUCAGUGGGGAAGAAAGCCUUGGGGCUAAUACCCUCGAGGAAGGACAUCACCCACAGAAGAAGCACCGGCUAACUCCGUGCCAGCAGCCGCGGUAAUACGGAGGGUGCGAGCGUUAAUCGGAAUUACUGGGCGUAAAGCGCGCGUAGGCGGUCUGAUAAGCCGGUUGUGAAAGCCCCGGGCUCAACCUGGGAACGGCAUCCGGAACUGUCAGGCUAGAGUGCAUGAGAGGAAGGUAGAAUUCCCGGUGUAGCGGUGAAAUGCGUAGAGAUCGGGAGGAAUACCAGUGGCGAAGGCGGCCUUCUGGACUGACACUGACGCUGAGGUGCGAAAGCGUGGGUAGCAAACAGGAUUAGAUACCCGUGUAGUC
RNAcentral lists this ribosomal RNA (463 nucleotides) under Vreelandella stevensii. RNAcentral describes it as "partial 16S ribosomal RNA". It matches the Rfam family "Bacterial small subunit ribosomal RNA", at positions 338 to 795 of the family's 1533-position model. The record is from RNAcentral. Lineage: Bacteria; Pseudomonadati; Pseudomonadota; Gammaproteobacteria; Oceanospirillales; Halomonadaceae.